Molecule: long non-coding RNA, 444 nt
Organism: Mauremys mutica (yellowpond turtle)
Lineage: Eukaryota; Metazoa; Chordata; Testudines; Geoemydidae
Exons: 3
Source: RefSeq, a predicted model, not a curated record
UAGGUUUGCAUGACAGCAAGUAUUAGGCAAUUCAAUGCAAUCAUCUUCCUUUGGUGGAGGAAGUCUUGGCAGUGAGACUCUAGUCAACCACAUUGCCUAGAAACCAGAAUGGAGGGGAAGAUGGGCAGUGCAAUGAUUCCACAGAGCCAGUAUGAAAGCCCAGGCUUAAAGCUCUUAAAAUCCAUGGAGUUUAAGGGGCCUGGGUUUUUUUCUGCAGAAGGUCACCCCUAAGGACUGAAGUGUCAAGGCUAUCUACUGUUGAUAUAAUAUACCGUAAAUAGUUUGAAGGCAGGAUACUGACAGUUACGGAGGAACACUCAAAACAAUUAUGAAGACAAGGAUCCUACCCCAAAGAACUUUCAUGUCAAGAUGGAUGAAGGAUGCUGUUAAAACUUCAGAGAAAAUGUGGCUUGCUCUGGGGUAUGGAGCUUUGUUAAUAAAACA